GCACACGCACUUUCACACACAGUCCUCUGUUUGACAUUUGUCUGAACAUUUGUUGUUGUUUUAUUUUAAAAAGUUUUUUUUUUUAUACACACAGAUUUCGUACACAAUUACAAAACUAGAUUUCAUAUUCUAUUUGCAGUGGAACACAGUACUGUGUACUGUGGCAGUGGAAAAUCUGAGAUUUUUACACAAAAAUCUCAAAAGCAAAUAGAAAACGACAUAAGUUUCUCUAUGGAGUUGGUUACACAGUCAGACAGUGUUGUGCCCAAUAACGUUCAAAUUUACAUUUUCUAGGAACAAACGUCAAAAAGAGGAAAAUCCUCAUACCUCUUGCCUUGCCAACAACCUGACUGGUAAGGCGAUUGGAAAAUCAACGUGUAGCCAGGAACAACGAAAUUUACUGUUUUUACAAUAUUUAAUGAUGUUCUUCUUUUGAAAUCCAAAUCAUCGGCGGAAAGCAAAAUGCUUCUAAGUCCUAUGGAGUUGGAACAAUUCUAAAAACUGUUAAAGAAAAAUGCUUUUUUCUAUUCAAGUGAAUUGCAGUGUGCCUUCAUUUUCUUUACGCUGUUUCUCCAAAUGUUUACUUUUCAAGUGUCGCUCUAUCGCACCAUCUCUUUGCAGAGCAAUUUAUUGGUUGCAGUCUCAACAAACCUACUCAAUUAAUUAUUAUUCAAACAUCUCGUGAACACAAGUCAACAUAAGGAAACAACGAAUAUGGUACCCAAUAAGGACCACCAAAAGUAUUUAACACUAAUUGCAGUAUCCAUAGGUGGAUUCCUUAAGACAUCCAUCAACCCUGAAUUCCAUAAAAACUGCCGAACGAUUCUGGGUAUUGGAGAGAAUUCCGAAGCCGAAGAUAGAAUUACUCAAAUCAUCACAAAUAUUAAAUGGAAACACCAAAUUGAUUUCAACUAAACUAGUUCAAACAUUUAUUGUUAAUUAAAAUAAAGUCUACAAUUUAAAUAAGUUUAAAAGUUUA
Long non-coding RNA from Episyrphus balteatus (marmalade hoverfly), 979 nucleotides. RefSeq lists it as uncharacterized. The record is from RefSeq and is a predicted model, not a curated record. NCBI's taxonomy places the organism in Eukaryota, Metazoa, Arthropoda, Insecta, Diptera, Syrphidae. The transcript is spliced from 2 exons.